Long non-coding RNA from Cololabis saira (Pacific saury), 745 nucleotides. RefSeq lists it as uncharacterized. The transcript is spliced from 3 exons. Lineage: Eukaryota; Metazoa; Chordata; Actinopteri; Beloniformes; Belonidae. The record is from RefSeq and is a predicted model, not a curated record.
CGGAGAAGACCGCAUCUUAUGAAAAAGAAGCAGGAAAUAAAAGCGAGUCUAUGUGUAGAAGCCAGAGAUCCAGGGAAUGAUAUACAGAUUUUUGACAUCAGGUUGACGUGGGGGAAGACUCUCAGUCCCAAAUGGCAAACGUACCGGUCCUGUCCACGGCUCAAGGUGGAAAAAUACAUGUGGGUAGGGAAUUCAGAGACUCUCUCCCUCUUCUAGAUGUUCUCCAUGCAAAUGAGUUUGAAUUUGAGGACGACUUUAACCCAAAACUCAUUGAGAAGACAGAAGAAGACUUUUACAGAGGCGCCCCUCCCAGCUGGUUAAACUUUCACAUUAGUGAACAGGCGACAUUAGACGGCACUGGAACUCUCUUUGUUAAACGAGACGGAUAUGAAACACUUAAGAAACAAAUUAAGGAAAAAAGAAAGCUCCCUGCAAUAUCAACUGUUAAACUGUUCCACCAGUCAGGAUGUGGGGGCACCACGAUGGCCAAGCAGGUGCUGUGGGACUUGAGGAAAACCUUUCGCUGUGCUGCUUUAAUAGGCUCUACCUCAGAUAUCACUGAAGUUGCGAUGGAGGUUAUCGAGCUUUUCAUGGCAGGUAAUCGAGGACACCAGAACACUGUGCUGCUGUUACUAAAUGAUGAGCAGAUCCUAGAUAAUCUCCAAAGCAGCAUUAUUAGGAUGAUUGCUGAAAACAACAUGGUUACUUGCAUGCCUGUGGUGAUUUUUCUAAACUGUGUGAGAAA